UGACCUCGAACUCAGAGAUCCGCCUGCCUCCGCCUCCCGAGUGCUGGGAUUAAAGGUGUGCGCCACCACCUGGCUUGCGUCUAGCUUUUCAUUUAUUUAUUAUUUAUUGAUGUAAUCAUUACUAUUAACACUAUGUAGAUUCCGGGGCUCAAACCUACAUCUCACUGGCUCAGCUAUCACCCAAGUCCCAAUUUUCUACUUUAAACUCAUACAUUUUUUUCGAGUUUGCUGGUUAGCUUUUAUCUCAACUUGGUACAAGCUACAGUCAUCUGGGAAGAGGGGAACCUUGACUGAGAAAAUGCCUCCCCAUCAGACUGGCAUGGAGGUAAGUCUGUGCGGGUAUUUUCCUGAUUGAUGAGUGGCGUGAGAGGACUCACCCCACCGUGGGUGGUGCCAUGCCUGGACAGGUGGUCCCUGUUGAACGAAACAGCAAGCUGAGUGAGUCAGCAGGAGCAAACUGGAGAGCAGCGGCACCGCUCCACGGUCUGCUUCCCUUCCUGCCUCCAGGGCUCCUGUCUGGGGUUCUGUGCUACCUGCGCGUCCCUUCGUGACGGACGGUAAGCUGUGCCGUGAACUAAACGCUGCUUUUGGCUCUAACGUUUAUCGCAGCAAUGGAAAACAAACUAGGACACCAGGUAUCCUCGGCAACACUUGAAAACAAAACGAGUGACCAGGUGUAACCCCGGCCCUCGAAAGCUGGUCAGGGGAACCAUAAGGACCUCUAGACCCCGAGAAAAGGUGGGAGGGGAAGGUCCAACUCCACCUCACGGCCUCUCAUCCUCACAUGCGCACUACCGCCAGUGCGACCCCGACCCCGACCCCACCCCCUCAUCUAUACAUACACACAGUAAUAAGUAAGUUCAAAACCAUUAAUUUUCAGGCAUAAGUUCUGAUUCUGGAACAAGUAAGUUUCUUCCUUUUAUGUUUGUGAUAGGGUCUCUCUCUGCUACUCACGCUGCCUCUGAGGUUGUGGGCUAAAGUGAUCUUUCUAUACUUGCCUCAGGAGUACCUAGGAUUCCUCACAAGCUGCCACAUUCCGCCAGAAGGGUUGUGUUUGUGUGAAGAGGGCAUGAUGAUCAUCAUUGGUUCUACACAAUUGUUCUAUGACCCUAAAAGACUCCAAAUCAAGGACUCCAUCCAUAAGUCCCUUCCACAAUAACAAACUUCUCAUCGCUGCUUUAAAACACACCUAAGGUGACACAGCGCUGCCCAGAAGAGCCUUCAUCCAGGAAAACAGCUGCGGGAGGGACCAAGGAAACUUUCAAAGCACCUUGCACUUUUGAAAAACAGCAUUCUUGUCCGACUGUUUCUCUGUAUUAUUUAAUAACUAGACUAGACAAUGACAUUUGUUUUCCAAAUCCAAUAAUAUCAGGAAGUGUAAUCUAAAUGAUUUACUACUUGUAAGUAAACUAACCCCCUCUUUAACCUAUGCUCAAUUGGGAAGGAAAACAUUACCUAGCAUUUCGACAGACAUACACUCUUGCAAAAGCUUCUUACAAAACUUCAGAAUUUUAUCUGUUCUAUGCUGCACGUGAGUCUCAUCUAGAGAGGAUCCCCAAAACAACUCAACAGGUUACAGGAGCUUUAAAAACAAAGAUAUAAAAAUCCAGGGCCUGGAAGCUGGGAUGGAGCUCAGUGGCAGAGUCUUUGCAAAGGUUGAUUGAAACAUUGGGUCUUAUGCUCAAUACCCUGUAGCCCAUCUCGAAUGCGCGCACCUGUGUGUGUGUGUGUGCGUGUGUGUGCACACACACACACACACACACACACACACACACAGGGUUGCACUUGUCUAGCAUGCAUAAAGCCCUGGAUUCCAUCCCCAACACUGCAUAAAAGUGCUGUGUGAUGAUGCAAAGAUACUUCCUAUAAUCUCAGCAUUCCAGAACAGGAGACAGGAGGAUCAGAAUUUGAAAUUCAUCUCAUCUACUAGGGAGUUCGAGGUCGUAUGGAUUACAGGAGACCAGCUCAAAACAAAAUGCCAAGAAAAUAGUUUGUGAAUACAAUUACACAUCUCCAGCUAUUGGGAGAUGUUGUAAUAUGCACUUUUUAUUGUGGGUUGUGGUCAGACGCAGCGUGAGAGUCACUCAUCUAACCAAGCUGUGGAGUUACUCGAUUACAUGAUUACACAUACAGAUUUUUCAAACAAAGACAUAUUGUUCAGAGCAGGGCUUUUCAGACAGAAACACAAAGGGAAUGGAAACCAGGGCUGCUUAUGGCCUUAAUUACACCACUGAACGUUCAAUAUUAGCACAGCUCAGCCAAAAGGAGCCAAAGCCCAAGCCUGAAGCUGACUCUAAACAAGGAACAAGCCAGAAACUGGUACAGCCGGAAGUGGGACAUUGGGAAGUGGCCAUCCCUGCCCUAGCUGCCUGAUGCUUCAGGGCUCCACAUUCCAAAGAGAUUAUUCCAUAUGGUGUCCUGACUGGCGUCCAUGAAAACUGGGAAGGAAACAGAUUCUAAGAUCAUCCUGCAGAAGUCUGGAACACAGGCGAGCAAUUCCUUGUUCGUGGACCAAAGUCUAAAUGUUGACCAUCGAAGUGAAACAUUAAAGAUCCACUUAAAAA
Long non-coding RNA from Mesocricetus auratus (golden hamster), 2564 nucleotides. RefSeq lists it as uncharacterized. The transcript has 2 exons. The record is from RefSeq and is a predicted model, not a curated record. NCBI's taxonomy places the organism in Eukaryota, Metazoa, Chordata, Mammalia, Rodentia, Cricetidae.